UAGGGAAUCUUGCGCAAUGGGCGAAAGCCUGACGCAGCCAUGCCGCGUGUGUGAAGAAGGCCUUCGGGUUGUAAAGCUCUUUUACCCGGGAUGAUAAUGACAGUACCGGGAGAAUAAGCCCCGGCUAACUCCGUGCCAGCAGCCGCGGUAAUACGGAGGGGGCUAGCGUUGUUCGGAAUUACUGGGCGUAAAGCGCACGUAGGCGGCUUUGUAAGUUAGAGGUGAAAGCCCGGAGCUCAACUCCGGAAUUGCCUUUAAGACUGCAUCGCUUGAAUCAUGGAGAGGUGAGUGGAAUUCCGAGUGUAGAGGUGAAAUUCGUAGAUAUUCGGAAGAACAUCAGUGGCGAAGGCGACUCACUGGACAUGUAUUGACGCUGAGGUGCGAAAGCGUGGGGAGCAAA
Molecule: ribosomal RNA, 400 nt
Filed under: uncultured bacterium
Lineage: Bacteria
Description: bacterial SSU rRNA
Rfam family: Bacterial small subunit ribosomal RNA
Source: RNAcentral